GUAGGUGGCAAGCGUUGUCCGGAUUUACUGGGCGUAAAGAGCGCGCAGGCGGUCAGGUAAGUCGAAUGUGAAAGCCCCCGGCUCAACUGGGGAAGGUCAUUCGAUACUGCUUGACUUGAAGAUGGGAGAGGGAAGCGGAAUUUCCGGUGUAGUGGUGAAAUGCGUAGAUAUCGGAAGGAACACCAGUGGCGAAGGCGGCUUUCUGGCCCAUUCUUGACGCUGAGGCGCGAAAGCUAGGGGAGCGAACGGGGAUUAGAUACCCCGGUAGUCCUAGCCGUAAACGAUGAACACUAGAUGUUGGUGUAUCAACCCCCGCCAGUGUCGUAGCUAACGCAUUAAGUGUUCCGCCUGGGGGAGUACGGCCGCAAGGCUA
RNAcentral lists this ribosomal RNA (373 nucleotides) under uncultured organism. RNAcentral's name for it is "partial 16S ribosomal RNA". It matches the Rfam family "Bacterial small subunit ribosomal RNA", at positions 527 to 896 of the family's 1533-position model. The record is from RNAcentral.